Carassius gibelio (silver crucian carp) is the source of this 1356-nucleotide long non-coding RNA. RefSeq lists it as uncharacterized. The record is from RefSeq and is a predicted model, not a curated record. NCBI's taxonomy places the organism in Eukaryota, Metazoa, Chordata, Actinopteri, Cypriniformes, Cyprinidae. The transcript is spliced from 3 exons.
ACGAGAAACAUCCGUUUUUCCCAUCCACAUUCUUGCGUAAGCAGAUGUUAACGUUUAAAACAUUUAAAACAAACCUAAAAAAGUAAGGAUCUGAUUAAGGGAAAAUACUUUAAUAACAAAAUUCCACAUGGUGGUUAUCACACAUUGCCACAAGGAAAAUAACAUGGGUCCCGGAGAAUAAGUUUUUUGAUGGUAGUUUAAAAGACGCUCCCACAAGACUGCAUUCAUCCAAAGGAAGUAGAGAAUGUCAUCGUAUCAGAAGACAAAGCAAGAAAAUGAAAGGAUAGAGGAGCGUACAAGAAAACGAGAGGAAUUUUUGAAAGACAAAGCUCAGCGAGAGGAGGCUCUGAAAAAAAUAUAAGGAGAAGAAAAUAGCAACCUAUCAGUUGUUGAAGAGAGAAAAAAAAAUCAAGAAAGGUCAGCCCAACCUUAAUCUGCAUAUGGAGCUAUUGCUGCAAAAGAUUCAAGCUCAGCGCAAAUAAUUCAGUGUCAUCCCACACAAUAAACUGUGCAGUUUGGGUGAGUGUUUUCUGACCUCUAGGAUGUGAAAAACUUUGCAUACCUUUGUUUUUCCCAAGUAAUAUUUCUUGUAAAUAAAUAUUAAAUGAUCCUCCAAUUAAGUUAAUUCAAGCUGACAGUACAGAACUAAUGCUAUGGCUAUACGCUUAUGGAACAACAUGAAGCUUUGUACUAUCUAUUAAGUGGUAAAUCUAUUUUUAUCAUUGUAUUUAGGUCGAUAAUGCCAUCAGGCAUUGUGCCUAAAAGUGCUUCCUUAAACAUUUAUAGCAUAAUUUUCUUCUUUUCUUUUACAGUUUUUUUAAAAAUUAUUUUUCUGACAAGACAAAUGAAUGAUAUCUUUUGUUUAUUAGGUGAAAAGCAUUGAUGUCAAAAUAGAAAUAAGAGGCCAAAUACUAAAAUACAAACAUUAAACUUUGUUGAUAAUGAAUUCUGCAAAGCAUGUAACCUUUCAUACAAAAAUAUUUAAAAUAGCACAAAAACAUAAGGCAUUGAUGCAUUAGUAGCAAUAUAAGAAACUCCCAGUAGCUCCAGUUACUGUAAUACUAUUUUGAUGAACAGAGGCAGAUGCUGUGGUCACUCAUAUGGCCCCUCCCUCCUUCCCCACAUUAUCAUAGUCUGUUUUUAAAAACAAGCAAAUUCACAUGUUCAUUUUUAUAAAUGCAUCACAAAUUUACAUUUAAUAGGGCUUAAAUGAAUAAAAGUAGAUUAUGGCUAAAGGUGAAGACAACCUACCUAACAGGUUUCUUUUAUUUCCAUUGCUGUUCUUCACAUCAUCAUACUCCUCCUGAUCUAACUCUGGUAUAUAUGUGAAAUAAAACCUCACAUUGUAAUGUGUAA